UACGGAGGGGGCUAGCGUUGUUCGGAAUUACUGGGCGUAAAGCGCACGUAGGCGGCUUUGUAAGUUAGAGGUGAAAGCCCAGGGCUUAACCCCUGGAAUUGCCUUUAAGACUGCAUCGCUAGAAUCGUGGAGAGGUGAGUGGAAUUCCGAGUGUAGAGGUGAAAUUCGUAGAUAUUCGGAAGAACACCAGUGGCGAAGGCGACUCACUGGACACGGUAUUGACGCUGAGGUGCGAAAGCGUGGGGAGCAAACAGG
This 255-nucleotide ribosomal RNA is filed under the name uncultured bacterium. RNAcentral describes it as "partial 16S ribosomal RNA". It matches the Rfam family "Bacterial small subunit ribosomal RNA", at positions 524 to 776 of the family's 1533-position model. The record is from RNAcentral.